RNAcentral lists this ribosomal RNA (253 nucleotides) under uncultured bacterium. RNAcentral's name for it is "partial 16S ribosomal RNA". It matches the Rfam family "Bacterial small subunit ribosomal RNA", at positions 524 to 776 of the family's 1533-position model. The record is from RNAcentral.
UACGUAGGGUGCAAGCGUUAUCCGGAAUUAUUGGGCGUAAAGAGCUCGUAGGCGGUUUGUCGCGUCUGCUGUGAAAACUCAGGGCUUAACCCUGAGCCUGCAGUGGGUACGGGCAGACUAGAGUGUGGUAGGGGAGAUCGGAAUUCCUGGUGUAGCGGUGGAAUGCGCAGAUAUCAGGAGGAACACCGGUGGCGAAGGCGGAUCUCUGGGCCAUAACUGACGCUGAGGAGCGAAAGCAUGGGGAGCGAACAGG